RNAcentral lists this transfer RNA (75 nucleotides) under Saprospiraceae bacterium. RNAcentral describes it as "tRNA-Pro". It matches the Rfam family "tRNA". Rfam says of the family: Transfer RNA (tRNA) molecules are approximately 80 nucleotides in length. The record is from RNAcentral. Lineage: Bacteria; Pseudomonadati; Bacteroidota; Saprospiria; Saprospirales; Saprospiraceae.
CGGGACAUAGCGCAGUCCGGUUAGCGCACUUGGUUUGGGACCAAGGGGUCGUAGGUUCGAAUCCUACUGUCCCGA